AAAAUUUUUUAACUAAUGAAAAAAUGGUAAGUAUAUCCGUAGGUUCGUUUUUUAUUAUAGAAAUGGCUAAAAUUUCGUAGAUGAAUUGAUAAUUAGAGUGACACAUAUUUAAUUGGAAAACAGUUAUUUCAUUAUCAGCAAUAUUAGUGUAUUUUUUAAUACAUGUAGCAGAAGUUUCUUCAAAAGAGCUUUGCGGCAUAUGUUUUAAUACUUUUGAUGUUGAGAAACUGACGAGUUUUCAAUGUAUAAAAUGUUACGUGUGCUCAAAUUGUAUCUCUCCUGAAGUAACAAAGCAUCAUUUCGAGAAGUGUGUUGAAUGCAGUAAUAAUAAAAUUUGUUAUAGAUGCCAAAAAAUUCCUAAUCAUAAAGUAAUGUAUAUAUCAAAAUGUUGUAAAAGAAGAUUAUGUCUCCCAUGUUAUAAUUAUCUUAAAGAUUGCAAUUUAUCAUGUUUACAUUGUAAAUGUUCAAAAGAACGCAAAAAAACAGGUUCCAAAGAAAAAUGUUUUAUAGAAUAUUGUCAUGUAUGUAAUCGCCAAACAACUCAUUGAAAAUACAGCAAUUUUCCUACUUUUAUACAAAUGUUUCACAAGGCUUGCUUAUUCAACAUAAUUUUUUUUUUCAUAAAAAUAAUUAGGGAAUUUAUUUAUCACGUAUUUAUUUAUCAUGCGUGAAAAUAGUCUUUGCUUUAUUCUAAAUGAUAAAAUAUUAACAUAAAAUAACACGAAAAUAAUUUUUUUUUAUUCUAAUAUUUUACUAAAUUUUCAUAUUCUAUGUUAUGCAGUAAUAUGUUAAAUCAUCUAUACAAUUAUAAAAUAUAUAAAAUACUUUUUAAUACGAAAUAAUAAUUAUGUUUAAUUUUCAAAUUUAUAAGUACGCCUAUUAUUAAAA
Molecule: RNA transcript, 888 nt
Organism: Daktulosphaira vitifoliae (grape phylloxera)
Lineage: Eukaryota; Metazoa; Arthropoda; Insecta; Hemiptera; Phylloxeridae
Exons: 6
Source: RefSeq, a predicted model, not a curated record